RNAcentral lists this ribosomal RNA (492 nucleotides) under uncultured bacterium. RNAcentral's name for it is "partial 16S ribosomal RNA". It matches the Rfam family "Bacterial small subunit ribosomal RNA", at positions 29 to 507 of the family's 1533-position model. The record is from RNAcentral.
AGUGAACGCUGGCGGUAGGCCUAACACAUGCAAGUCGAACGGCAGCACAGUAAGAGCUUGCUCUUACGGGUGGCGAGUGGCGGACGGGUGAGGAAUACAUCGGAAUCUACUUUUUCGUGGGGGAUAACGUAGGGAAACUUACGCUAAUACCGCAUACGACCUACGGGGGAAAGCAGGGGAUCUUCGGACCUUGCGCGAUUGUAUGAGCCGAUGUCGGAUUAGCUAGUUGGCGGGGUAAAGGCCCACCAAGGCGACGAUCCGUAGCUGGUCUGAGAGGAUGAUCAGACACACUGGAACUGAGACACGGUCCAGACUCCUACGGGAGGCAGCAGUGGGGAAUCUUGGACAAAGGGCGCAAGCCUGAUCCAGCCAUACCGCGUGGGUGAAGAAGGCCUUCGGGUUGUAAAGCCCUUUUGUUGGGAAAGAAAAGCAGCAGGUUAAUACCCCGCUGUUCUGACGGUACCCAAAGAAUAAGCACCGGCUAACUUCGUG